AAAGUCGUAACAAGGUUUCCGUAGGUGAACCUGCGGAAGGAUCAUUAAUGAUUCAAAGGAUGUGCUGGCAAUUUACAAUUGCAUUGUGCACUCCAACUCUUCAUUCACCUGUGCACAUUCUGUAGACGAGGAUAUUUCUUGUCUAUGAUUUUUACACACUGUUAAAAUAAAUUUGAAUGUUUUAUAAAGUUUAAUACAACUUUCAACAAUGGAUCUCUUGGUUCUC
This 226-nucleotide unclassified non-coding RNA is filed under the name Basidiomycota sp. RNAcentral's name for it is "partial contains small subunit ribosomal RNA, internal transcribed spacer 1, and 5.8S ribosomal RNA". The stretch from base 1 to 47 matches the Rfam family "Eukaryotic small subunit ribosomal RNA", at positions 1785 to 1831 of the family's 1831-position model. Lineage: Eukaryota; Fungi; Basidiomycota. The record is from RNAcentral.